GAAGGUCGCCCUACAGGUCACCCGGGAGCACUCGGAGGGCGCCCAGGGCCCCAUGGCAACGCAGCACAGAGACAUCAAACAGGGAGGCCGCACGUCACUGCGGUCAGGGAGGCUCCUCCCCACUGGCUAGCGGCUGGCUCCUCAGGCCGUCAGGCAGCCCGCCUCCUGUCGCCGUGGCGACCGGCUGUGUUGUGGACUGUCCCGGGCCCACCAGAUCCCUGCCCCCUCGCUGGGGCACUGCCGCUCCCCGCAUCCGGGGCGGGCGCCCAGCUCUGUCAUUCAGCCGCCCGUGUGCGGCCUAGUGCCGGCAGAGUGGCCUGCCUUUUGCGGCUCAGAGUCCCCUGGGGACAACAGCUUUGCCGGGGUCUCUGGAAGGGUGGAUGGCCACGGAGUGGGUAGUUGCCAGGAUGCUGUUGGGGUGGAUGUCACAGGAAUGGCCAACAGGCUAACUACUAGGACGAUGUUGGGAGCUCAAAGGCAGCACCCAGGUCCAGCAUGAACUUGGCAGUCAUGCCCACACACUCUAGAAGAUUCCAGAUAUAACAAUUCCAGCAACCAUCAAAUCAUCCACCUGGAAUUCUGACCUGUAUCCUCAAGAGAUGGCAAUGAUCUGAGACUGUUUCUCAAACUAGGAAUGCCCAGGUACGUCAUAGGUCAUUUGUAAACAAUAAAUUAGCUAGCUAAAUGAACCAAACACAGUGGCUCAGGUCUGUAAUUCCGGUGGAGGAAGGAGGAUUGGGAGUUGGAAGUCAUCUUUGGCUACAUAGUGAGUUCUAAGUCAGCCUGUACUACAGGAAACCCUCUCAGCCAGGCAGUGGUGUGGUGCACUCCUUUAAUCCCAGCAUUUGGGAGGCAGAGGAUCUCUGUGAGUUUGAGACCAGCCUGGUCUACGAGAUCGAGUACCAGGACAGCUUCCAAAGCCACAGGGAAACCCUGUCUCAAAAAAAGAAAAAAAGAAAGAAAAGAAAAAAACAAGAAACCCUCUCUAACCAAGGAACACCGCCCACCGCCCACCACGACCCAAUUAAUUUGUUAAUGACCGAUGUCCAGCACCUUCCUAGGACAGGGAAGUUUAGCAAAAAAAAAAAAAAAAAAAAAAGGAUAUACUUCAUUGGCAGCCUCUCCCACCCCUCCCCCCAGACAGGGUUUCUCCGCAGCUUUGUAGACCAGGACUGGUCAGGACUCACAGAGAUCCUCCUCCCAAGUGCUGGGAUUAAAGGCGUGGGCCACCCCCCCCCCACCCGUGGCAGCCUUUCGAUUGCCACCCUACUCAAGCAGGCUGCUUCUAGGAGAACAGCUUUGAUUGUCGAGGUCCAGUUCCCACCAUCUUUUCUGCAGGGAACCAGGGGAGUAGCCGUUUCUGGUGCCUCCACAGACCACUUCUGAGUGUCCUGCCUGCUCAGACCCCUGUCGCCUCAGUUUCCCCACCUACUGAAGGAGACAGGAAGAGGCGACCUCCAGAUCGGUUUGAGAGUUCCAUCUAUCAAAGUGAGCCAAAGGCUAGCACACCCCAGUAGCCCAGCCCGUUGCCACAAGGAGGAACAGGGGGUACAGGUGCCCUCCAUGGUUUCACCCAGCAGCGCAAGGCGACGUGGGUACUCCCGGAAGUGGGUGUGGGUCAUAGGCCAAAGUAGUUGCCAUGGAAGUGACUGUAGAGGACACUUGUGGAAGCUGGAGCAGGCAGCACCUGCUGCGGGUGGCGUCCGUCCGUCCGGAGGGGGCCUGGGCAUGAGUCAUUGCCCAGCAAUGAGGUUGAGUCACAGGGUGGGGUCCCCCGCACUCCCCCCACCAGCCGCUCCUACAAAGGACCUUUGAGAAGAACUCAGCAUCCCCGCCCAGCCUCCAGGCCGUCUCUGGUGUUAGUUGUGGGCAUAGACACUUCUGGGCUGCCCCCAGGAGGCUGGCCUGGGCCUGGGUGUCUGCCACAUGUGUGAAAAGUCACCAUCCAGGGCCUAGCAUUCCCAGGGAGGGGGCUUCCUGGCCACCAGAGCCACUGCCAGGACAGCAGACGAUCUUUCUUUCUUUCUUUCUUUCUUUCUUUGUUUCUUUCUUUCCUUCCUUCCUUCUUUCCUUCUUUCUUUUCCUUCCUUCCUUCCUUCCUUCCUUCCUUCUUUACUUCCUUCCUUCCUUUCUUGCAGAGCCCACGCAGGCACUCAGCAGGCUGAGUCAGGAAUAGCGGGUGCUGGAGGCAUCGCCCCAUCUUCAGGACCACUCUAGCCUGAGGGGCUUCUCUCCUAGAGACCUUGGAGCCUUCUCAGUCAGGACACAGACAGCCAUACCAGGCCUGAGGAUGCCAAGAAGCCUCCACUUGGGUACAAGGGUUAAGAAGGAGCCAGUAGCCAGCGGUGGUGUUGUACACCUUUAAUCCCAGCACUCAGGAGGCAGAGGCAGGUGGAUCUCUGAGUUUAAGGGCUGCUGGUCUACAGAAAGAGUUCCAUGAUAGCCAGGGCUACACAGAGAAACCCUGUUUCAAAAAAGAAAAAGGAGCCAUUUGUGGGAGGUGUAUACCUUUAGUCCCAGCACUCAGGCAAGUGGCUCUCUGCAUGUUUGAAGCCAGACUGGACUACAUAUCAAGUUCUAGGCCAGCAAGGAUACAGAAUGAGACCCCAGGUGGCUUAAAAGGUCAGCUACAGGGAGUGGGUGGUGGAGUGGGGGUACCUGGAGGUGGCUCAGCAGUCCUCCAGAGGAUCCCAGCACCCACAUGGCUGCUCACAACCCGCAGUAACUCCAGUUCCACGGAACCAGAUGUUAUCUUAGACAUGCACACAGGCAAAACAACCAUACUUAUAAAUAAAAGAGAGAUUUAAUAAAGCAUCAAAAGAGCUGUUCAUCAGGUGUUUUUAUUUUAUUUUUUACAUUUGUUUAAAUUGGUGGCACAUGACUUUAAUCCCAGCUCCAGCUCUCACUGGAGGCAGAGGCAGGCAGCUCUCUGAGUCCAAGGCCAGACUAGUCUACAUAGAGUUUCAGGAAGGCCAGGGAUACAAAGAGAACUAGAGUGAGUGAGUGUGUGUGUGUGUUUGCGCUCAUGCACAUGGUAGUGGGGUUGUGGUUUAUGAAUGUAUAUGGGCACUGUGUUUGAAUGAAUUGAACUCAGGACCUCUGGAAGCAGCCAGUACUCUUUUUUUUUCCUUCGAGACAGGGUUUCUCUGUGUGGCUUUGGAGCCUAUCCUGGCACUCGCUCUGGAGACCAGGCUGGUCUCGAACUCACAGAGAUCUGCCUGCCCCUGCCUCCCGAGUGCUGGGAUUAAAGGCGUGUGCCACCAACAACCGGUGCAGCUAGUAUUCUUAAUUACUGAGUCAUCUCUGCAGCCCCAACCAAGAUGUUUUAAACUGGGUCUGGUGGCAAUGAAACUUUUAAACAAAGGCGGUGUGGAAGUAGAAUUCAUGAUGCUCCUGGCCUUUACUCUGCAUUAGGGAGGUGGAAACAGGCAGAUCUGUAACUUUGAAGCCAGCCUGGUCUACAUACCAAAUUCUAGGGCUAAACAGUGAGAACUCUUUGUUUUUUCGAGACAGAGUUUCUCUGUGAAACAGCCCUGGCUGUCCUGGAACUAGCUCUUUUAGACCAGGCUGCCUGGAACUCACAGACAUCCACCUGCUUCUGCCUCCUAAGGGAUUAAAGGCGUGCGCCACUGCCCAGCCCAGGGAGAACUCUUUAAACAACAAUAACAAGAAACGGUUGAAUGCCACCACUUGAUUCCCAGUGCCACGCACAUGGUGAGAAAAGAGAACUGUCUUCCAAAAAUUGCCCUCUGGACCCCACCUGUGUGUCUUGACAUGCUGUAUGCACCCCCAUACAUAUAUCUGUGGAAAAAAUAAUUCAUACACCACUGAAUUGGUAAUCAAUGUGUUCAAAUGUAUAAGCAUAUAUACACAGAUAUGGGCAGAUGGUCACCACACUUUGUAUUAUUUGACUUUAUUAUUGCUGACUAAUGAAACCCUCAGCUUAAAAACAAGUAGCUUUUAAUGACUCUCAGCUCACACUAUCCUGUAGCUCCAGCUCCAGGGGUCUCCAUGGCUGCUAUACUCAUGAGUGCAUGUACACAUAAUUAAAAGAAUGUUUGCUGAGUGUGGUGAUGCAUGCCUUUAGUGCCAGCACCUGGGAGGCAAAGGCAGGCG
Molecule: long non-coding RNA, 4116 nt
Filed under: Cricetulus griseus (Chinese hamster)
Lineage: Eukaryota; Metazoa; Chordata; Mammalia; Rodentia; Cricetidae
Description: lncRNA (ENSCGRG00015040065.1)
Source: RNAcentral